This 479-nucleotide ribosomal RNA is filed under the name Nostoc sp. Its description in RNAcentral is "bacterial SSU rRNA". It matches the Rfam family "Bacterial small subunit ribosomal RNA", at positions 344 to 837 of the family's 1533-position model. The record is from RNAcentral. Lineage: Bacteria; Bacillati; Cyanobacteriota; Cyanophyceae; Nostocales; Nostocaceae.
GGAGGCAGCAGUGGGGAAUUUUCCGCAAUGGGCGAAAGCCUGACGGAGCAAUACCGCGUGAGGGAGGAAGGCUCUUGGGUCGUAAACCUCUUUUCUCAGGGAAGAACACAAUGACGGUACCUGAGGAAUAAGCAUCGGCUAACUCCGUGCCAGCAGCCGCGGUAAUACGGAGGAUGCAAGCGUUAUCCGGAAUGAUUGGGCGUAAAGCGUCCGCAGGUGGCAAUGUAAGUCUGCUGUUAAAGAGUGAGGCUCAACCUCAUAAGAGCAGUGGAAACUACAUAGCUAGAGUACGUUCGGGGCAGAGGGAAUUCCUGGUGUAGCGGUGAAAUGCGUAGAGAUCAGGAAGAACACCGGUGGCGAAGGCGCUCUGCUAGGCCGUAACUGACACUGAGGGACGAAAGCUAGGGGAGCGAAUGGGAUUAGAUACCCCAGUAGUCCUAGCCGUAAACGAUGGAUACUAGGCGUGGCUUGUAUCGACC